Molecule: ribosomal RNA, 305 nt
Filed under: uncultured bacterium
Lineage: Bacteria
Description: bacterial SSU rRNA
Rfam family: Bacterial small subunit ribosomal RNA
Source: RNAcentral
CCUACGGGACGCAGCAGUAGGGAAUCUUCCACAAUGGACGAAAGUCUGAUGGAGCAACGCCGCGUGAGUGAAGAAGGGUUUCGGCUCGUAAAGCUCUGUUGGUAGUGAAGAAAGAUAGAGGUAGUAACUGGCCUUUAUUUGACGGUAAUUACUUAGAAAGUCACGGCUAACUACGUGCCAGCAGCCGCGGUAAUACGUAGGUGGCAAGCGUUGUCCGGAUUUAUUGGGUGUAAAGGGUGCGUAGACGGGAAUACAAGUUGGUUGUGAAAGCCCUCGGCUUAACUGAGGAACUGCAACCAAAACUA